Molecule: ribosomal RNA, 447 nt
Filed under: uncultured Sphingobacteriales bacterium
Lineage: Bacteria; Pseudomonadati; Bacteroidota; Sphingobacteriia; Sphingobacteriales
Description: bacterial SSU rRNA
Rfam family: Bacterial small subunit ribosomal RNA
Source: RNAcentral
UGGAGCAUGUGGUUUAAUUCGAUGAUACGCGAGGAACCUUACCUGGGCUCAAAUGUAUGUUGACGUAUUCUGAAAGGGAUACUUCUUCGGACAAUAUACAAGGUGCUGCAUGGUUGUCGUCAGCUCGUGCCGUGAGGUGUCGGGUUAAGUCCCAUAACGAGCGCAACCCCUAUCAUUAGUUGCCAUCAGGUCAAGCUGGGGACUCUAAUGAAACUGCCUACGCAAGUAGUGAGGAAGGCGGGGAUGACGUCAAAUCAGCACGGCCCUUACGUCCAGGGCUACACACGUGCUACAAUGGCCGAUACAGAGGGCAGCUACCUGGUGACAGGAUGCAAAUCUCCAAAGUCGGUCUCAGUUCGGAUCGGAGUCUGCAACCCGACUCCGUGAAGUUGGAUUCGCUAGUAAUCGCGCAUCAGCCAUGGCGCGGUGAAUACGUUCCCGGGCCUU